Bombyx mori (domestic silkworm) is the source of this 84-nucleotide non-coding RNA. The record is from Rfam. NCBI's taxonomy places the organism in Eukaryota, Metazoa, Arthropoda, Insecta, Lepidoptera, Bombycidae.
UUAAUUCGAUUUUGUAUGGAGUUGGAACGUUUGCCUAAGUUUGCCGCUAGUGGCGCUGUCCAAACUCCAUACAAAAUCGAGUUA